RNAcentral lists this ribosomal RNA (347 nucleotides) under uncultured bacterium. Its description in RNAcentral is "partial 16S ribosomal RNA". It matches the Rfam family "Bacterial small subunit ribosomal RNA", at positions 338 to 682 of the family's 1533-position model. The record is from RNAcentral.
CCUACGGGUGGCAGCAGUGAGGAAUAUUGGUCAAUGGGCGCGAGCCUGAACCAGCCAAGUAGCGUGAAGGAUGACUGCCCUACGGGUUGUAAACUUCUUUUAUAAAGGAAUAAAGUGAGGCACGUGUGCCUUUUUGUAUGUACUUUAUGAAUAAGGAUCGGCUAACUCCGUGCCAGCAGCCGCGGUAAUACGGAGGAUCCGAGCGUUAUCCGGAUUUAUUGGGUUUAAAGGGAGCGUAGAUGGGUUGUUAAGUCAGUUGUGCAAGUUGGCGGCUCAACCGGAAAAUUGCAAUUGAUACUGGCAGUCUUGCGUACAGUUGCGGUAGGCGUCAUUCGUGGUGUAGCUGU